AGUGAACGCUGGCGGUAGGCCUAACACAUGCAAGUCGAACGGAAGCACAGUAAGAGCUUGCUCUUACGGGUGGCGAGUGGCGGACGGGUGAGGAAUACAUCGGCAUCUACUUUUUCGUGGGGGAUAACGUAGGGACACUUACGCUACUACCGCAUACGAUCUACGGGUGAAAGCAGGGGAUCUUCGGACCUUGCGCGAUUGAAUGAGCCGAUGUCGGAUUAGCUAGUUGGCAGGGUAAAGGCCCACCAAGGCGACGAUACGUAGCUGGUCUGAGGGGAUGAUCAGCCACACUGGAACUGAGACACGGUCCAGACUCCUACGGGAGGCAGCAGUGGGGAAUAUUGGACAAUGGGCGCAAGCCUGAUCCAGCCAUACCGCGUGAGUGAAGAAGGUCUUCGGGUUGUAAAGCCCUUUUGUUGGGAAAGAAAAGCAGCAUGUUAAUACCCCGAUGUUCUGACGGUACCUAAAGAAUAAGCACCGGCUAACUUCGUG
RNAcentral lists this ribosomal RNA (492 nucleotides) under uncultured bacterium. Its description in RNAcentral is "partial 16S ribosomal RNA". It matches the Rfam family "Bacterial small subunit ribosomal RNA", at positions 29 to 507 of the family's 1533-position model. The record is from RNAcentral.